AGACCGAAAGGGAAGCCCCGUCAAAGAGGCGAAGGGGCAGAAGGACGGACCUGGGCCAGGGGCGUGUCCUCCCGGCAGGGGCGUGUCCUCCUGAAGGGGCGUGGCGUCGGGGCCUCACGUGGCGCGUUCGCCAGCCGGGCGCGCGUCCGUCGCCCAGGGGCGUGGCGUUGGGGCUCCCAGGGCGAGUCCGGGGCUGGGGGCGUGACGUCAGGCGCCCGGGGCGGAAACGCGCAGGGCUCGGCUUGGGCCGCGGGGUCCAGGCGAGGGUCGCGGCGAGGGUCGCGGCGAGGGUCGCAGUGCGCGCGGGCCGGGAGUGCUGUGCGCUUGGAGGGCCCGGUGAGGCGGCGGGGCCCCUGGGGCUCCCGGUGGUCGGCGGGCGGGGUUCGGCGCCUUUCGGGGGCCCGCCGCGUCCUCGGCCGUGGGCGGGGGUUGGCCGCGCUGCUCGGUGGCCGCCGGCCCGGUGCACGGUCGUCUUAAGGAAAUCUGUCCCUUUUCAGGGAAGCGCAGGGCCUGGCGCUGGACACGGCCUCGCGCCCUCGGAAGGCCGCGCCUUGGUGCCCCUGCGGGGUCCUCCGCCGGGUUCGGCCGAUGAAGCCCGCGGCCCGCCUGGGCGCCCUGUGCCUGGCGCUGUGCUGCCUGGGCGGCGCGCGCGGGCUCUGGAGGAGUGACAGCCACGAGUGGCAUAAACUAAUUAUGGUUCACCACUGGCCUGCGACAGUGUGCAAGGUGAGUUCCGCCUCGACCGGCCCCUCUGACCUGUGACCCCCGCCCCCCGUGACGAGGAGUUUGCCCAGCAGGUUUCCUCGCCGAGCGCCUCUUGCCGACGGAACCUCCCGGCCUGUCCUGCUCCACGAGGCGGCGCCUUCCCGGCCGGAGACCGUCCCUCGGGGAGGGCCUUGCGCGAGGUUCUGGGGGUUCAGGCCCACAGACGGCGGUGGCUGGCUCAGGCAUCACGAAUGUAUUCUCCCAGUUCUGGGGGCCAGAAGUCUGAAACCAAGGUGCGGCAGGUCCCUUCCGGAAGUUUCGAGGGAGAAUGUGGUCCACGCCUCUUCCUGGCUUGUGGCGGUGCCGGCGCUCCUUGGCUUGUAGGCACAGCCUCUGCCCCGCCUCCACGCCGUGGUCUCCAUCCGUGUGUCUGUUUCUUACAGGAACCCCAGGGAUUGCGCUGAGGGCCUACCCUCAUCCAGUCUGACCUCCUCUUAACUUGAUGACACCUGCAAAGACCCUGUUCCAGAUAAAGUCACAUUCAGAAGGGCCUGGGGUUAGGACUUCAGCAUGCCCUCCGGGGACAGGCCUUGACCUGUCCCCUCCCUCCACUAUUGCAAGUCUCAUUAAAAGUCUCCGCCGGAGCCUUGCCGGCCUCCUUUGCUCAGCUCGGCACAGGUGGCGCCUUCCCUCCUUCAGGGUGGCCUCCGUCUGGCCCUGCCUCGCCUGGCGCCCUUGUCCUUGUAGAGUGUGUUGCAGAGGCUCUCACCCAAGAGCAGCCAGCUGACGCCCCUCCUGCUGCCUGCGGGCCGUGUCCCCCUGUCCAUCUUGGGGGCAGUUGUCGCGCCGAUCCUGGUAUUGGUGCCACGACUCUAAAGUCGUUUCAUCAUAUUGCUGAGCUGGCCCUAAUUUUAUUGACAGUGUUUCUGAAAUUUUGACUUGAAAAUUCUCAAUUUUGAGGCCUUUUCUUUUAAGUAUUGGGAGGUGGAGACAUUUAUAAAUGGCAAAGCCUCACCACCAUAGCAUUAGCUACCUCCCCCCUCCCAUCACACGGUUACCACAUCUUUCUUGUGGUGAGAACAUUUGAGAUCUACUCUCUCUGUAGCAUUCAAGUGCAUGAAACAGCAUUAUUCGCUGCGAUCACCAUGCUGUUCGUUAGAUCCCCAGGCUUGUUCAUCUUAUAACUGGAGGUUUG
This 1900-nucleotide long non-coding RNA is filed under the name Balaenoptera musculus (blue whale). Its description in RNAcentral is "lncRNA (ENSBMSG00010009828.1)". The record is from RNAcentral. Lineage: Eukaryota; Metazoa; Chordata; Mammalia; Artiodactyla; Balaenopteridae.